Molecule: small nucleolar RNA, 107 nt
Organism: Lathyrus oleraceus (garden pea)
Lineage: Eukaryota; Viridiplantae; Streptophyta; Magnoliopsida; Fabales; Fabaceae
Source: RefSeq, a predicted model, not a curated record
AAGCCCGUGAAAAGGGCAUAAUCUUAACAAAUCAUUAUAACGUUCUCACGCGUCAAACAGCGAUUCCUCAUCUUCUUGUCUAAAGUUAUUAAUCUCAUUCCUAACUU